Molecule: ribosomal RNA, 253 nt
Filed under: uncultured bacterium
Lineage: Bacteria
Description: partial 16S ribosomal RNA
Rfam family: Bacterial small subunit ribosomal RNA
Source: RNAcentral
UACGUAGGGUGCAAGCGUUGUCCGGAAUUACUGGGCGUAAAGGGCGCGUAGGCGGACAGUUUAGUCAGAGGUGAAAGCCCAGGGCUCAACCUUGGAAUUGCCUUUGAUACUGGCUGUCUUGAGUACGGGAGAGGUGAGUGGAACUCCGAGUGUAGAGGUGAAAUUCGUAGAUAUUCGGAAGAACACCAGUGGCGAAGGCGACUCACUGGCCCGUUACUGACGCUGAGGCGCGAAAGCGUGGGGAGCAAACAGG